RNAcentral lists this ribosomal RNA (440 nucleotides) under uncultured bacterium. RNAcentral's name for it is "partial 16S ribosomal RNA". It matches the Rfam family "Bacterial small subunit ribosomal RNA", at positions 338 to 795 of the family's 1533-position model. The record is from RNAcentral.
CCUACGGGAGGCAGCAGUGGGGAAUAUUGCACAAUGGGCGGAACUCUGAUGCAGCAACGCCGCGUGAGUGAAGAAGUCUUUCGGUUUGUAAAGCUCUAUCAUCAGGGAAGAACAUGACGGAACCUGACUAAGAAGCCCCGGCUAACUACGUGCCAGCAGCCGCCGUCAUACGUAGGGGCCAAGCGUUCUCCGGUUUUAUUGGGUGUAACGGGAGCGUAGGCGGUUAUUCAAGUCGGAAGUGAAAGCCCAAGGCUCAACCAUGGAACUGCUUUGGAUACUGGAAAACUUGAGUGCAGGAGAGGUGAGUGGAAUUCCAAGUGUAGCGGUGAAAUGCGUAGAUAUUAGGAGGAACACCAGUGGCGAAGGCGGCUUACGGGUCUGUAACUGACGUUGAGGCUCGAAAGCGUGGGGAGCAAACAGGAUUAGAUACCCCAGUAGUC